CAAAGGAAUUGACGGGGCCCGCACAAGCGGUGGAGCAUGUGGUUAAUUCGAAGCAACGCGAAGAACCUUACCAGGUCUUGACAUCCCGAUGCUAUUUCUAGAGAUAGAAAGUUACUUCGGUACAUCGGUGACAGGUGGUGCAUGGUUGUCGUCAGCUCGUGUCGUGAGAUGUUGGGUUAAGUCCCGCAACGAGCGCAACCCCUAUUGUUAGUUGCCAUCAUUCAGUUGGGCACUCUAGCGAGACUGCCGGUAAUAAACCGGAGGAAGUGGGGAUGACGUCAAAUCAUCAUGCCCCUUAUGACCUGGGCUACACACGUGCUACAAUGGUUGGUACAACGAGUUGCGAGUCGGUGACGGCGAGCUAAUCUCUUAAAGCCAAUCUCAGUUCGGAUUGUAGGCUGCAACUCGCCUACAUGAAGUCGGAAUCGCUAGUAAUCGCGGAUCAGCACGCCGCGGUGAAUACGUUCCCGGGCCUU
RNAcentral lists this ribosomal RNA (476 nucleotides) under uncultured Streptococcus sp. Its description in RNAcentral is "bacterial SSU rRNA". It matches the Rfam family "Bacterial small subunit ribosomal RNA", at positions 902 to 1382 of the family's 1533-position model. The record is from RNAcentral. Lineage: Bacteria; Bacillati; Bacillota; Bacilli; Lactobacillales; Streptococcaceae.